Molecule: ribosomal RNA, 347 nt
Filed under: Pseudo-nitzschia subfraudulenta
Lineage: Eukaryota; Bacillariophyta; Bacillariophyceae; Bacillariales; Bacillariaceae
Description: LSU rRNA
Rfam family: Eukaryotic large subunit ribosomal RNA
Source: RNAcentral
GUUCCUUGGAAAAGGACAGCUGAGAGGGUGAAACUCCCGUCCGCCUGGUAGAGUGAGUCUUUGUCAACGAGUCGAGUUGUUUGGGAUUGCAGCUCUAAUUUGGUGGUAAAUUCCAUCUAAAGCUAAAUAUUGGUGGGAGACCGAUAGCGUACAAGUACCGUGAGGGAAAGAUGCAAAGAACUUUGAAAAGAGAGUUAAAGAGUACCUGAAAUUGCUGAAACGGAAGCGAAGGAAACCAGUGUUUGUUGGUUCAUAUUUCCCUGGCCACUUGUGGUUUGGGCGCUGUGAGCUUUCGUGGGUUUGGGUUGGUUGAUCCCUUUGGAAGAGCGCAGUCAGAGUUGAUGUCU